RNAcentral lists this ribosomal RNA (590 nucleotides) under Ammonia sp. genotype T6. RNAcentral's name for it is "SSU rRNA". The stretch from base 1 to 376 matches the Rfam family "Eukaryotic small subunit ribosomal RNA", at positions 1237 to 1501 of the family's 1831-position model. Lineage: Eukaryota; Foraminifera; Rotaliida; Rotaliidae. The record is from RNAcentral.
GGGUUGAAAGAUGCUAGUUCUUUCAUGAUUAUGUGAUAGGUGGUGCAUGGCCGUUCUUAGUUCGUGGAGUGAUCUGUCUGCUUAAUUGCGUAUCAAUAAUAGAGACCUAGUAUACGCGUAGACUCAUGCGGUAGUGACCCCCCUUCACAGGGCGCGUGUCGCACGUAUGUUAUACGCACAGGUCUCCGAUAGCAACGAACGUGACCGUACUCUAUUGUUGCAGCGACAAUACCUUUCAACGGGUAUUACCGCUGCUUAGCAAGAUUCGUCUUGCAUUAAACUAUAGAGACCGCUGUUUCUUCUUUAAACCAGAGGAAGGAUACGGCAAUAACAGGUCUGUGAUGCCCUCAGAUGUUCCGGGCUGCACACGUGCUACAAUGAUCAUUGCACUGUGCAUCUAACCCAAUGUGCGCGGACGCCGCCGUGCGUAUAUACUUUAUUGUGUAUGCGUAUCGUGCGUGCGACCGCGCCGAACCUGCUUCGAAAGUAAACAUUUCCAGCGGGUAAUCCAUUAGAAGUAAUGACUCGCAUAGACCAUGGNACACUAUAUGUACCCGCGGGUUCUACCCGGCUCGCCUUUGUGUGAGUGC